This 71-nucleotide transfer RNA is filed under the name Gambelia wislizenii (Longnose leopard lizard). RNAcentral describes it as "tRNA-Asp". Lineage: Eukaryota; Metazoa; Chordata; Lepidosauria; Squamata; Crotaphytidae. The record is from RNAcentral.
AAGGCCUUAGUAAAAUCAUUACAUAGCCCUGUCAGAGCUAAAUUAUAGAAUCAGAAAAUCUAUAGGCCUUA